AGCCGCAGAAAUGAGCCGAGAUGCUGCAUUCUCUCUCUGGCUCGCUUUGAGCUGCCGGUGGGUGAUACCUGAUUAGUGCUUUGUUCAUCUUGUCGUUUCUAUUCAUUGGCGUUCCUCCACCACGCCUAGUCCGUCUGACUGCUACAUGAACUCACAAAUCGCUGUUGCCAGCCAUCUGGCCAUCCUCCUAACGUGCUCCUGAGUUCUGUGGGCCGAGGAGAGCCUCAGCCAUGCUUUCUGAAGUCACAGGAAAACACCAAAUGGCGGAUGAUGCCGGUGCAGCGGAAGGGCCCAGAGGACCCGGGAGCCCAGCAUUAGGAGGCAUCGUGGCUGAGGCCGUGGCCUUGGCCGUGGUCGAGGCCGCGGGGCUUGUAGAGGUAAAGCUGAAGACAAGGAGUGGAUCCCAUCACUAAGCUGGGCCGCCUGGACAUGAAGAUCAAGUCCUUGGAGGAGAUCUACCUGUUCUCCCUGCCCAUUAAGGAGUCUGAGAUUACUGACUUUUUCCUGGGUGCAUCUCUAAAGGAUGAGGUUCUGAAAAUCAUGCCAGUGCGGAAGCAGACUCAGGCUGGCCGGCGGACCAGGUUCAAAGCUUUUGUCACUAUUGGGGACUACAAUGGCCACGUUGGUCUUGGUGUUAAGUGCUCCAAGGAGGUAGCCACUGCCAUCUGAGGGGCCAUUACCCUGGCCAAGCUUUCGAUCGUCCCAGUGCGGAGAGGCUACUGGGGGAACAAGACUGGCAAGCCCCACACUGUGCCAUGCAAGGUGACAGGCCGCUGUGGCUCUGUGCUGGUGUGUCCCAUCCCCGCCCCCAGAGGCACUGGCAUUGUGUCUGCUCCUGUGCCCAAGAAGCUACUGAUGAUGAUGGCCGGUAUAGAUAACCGCUACACUUCAGCCAGGGGCUGCACUGUCACCCUGGGCAACUUUGCCAAGGCCACCUUUGAUACCAUCUCCAUGAUGUACAGCUAUUGACCCCUGACCUCUGGAAAGAGAGACUGUGUUCACCAAGUCUUCUUAUCAGGAAUUCACUGACCACCUUGUGAAAACCCACAUCAGAGUCUCUGUUCAGAGGACCCAGGCUCCAGCUGUGGCCACCACAUAAGGGUUUUUAUACAAGAAAAAUAAAUGAAUUAUGUUUG
This is an RNA transcript of Rattus norvegicus (Norway rat), 1136 nucleotides long. It is a transcript of the gene named ribosomal protein S2, pseudogene 44, with no coding region annotated. The transcript is spliced from 2 exons. NCBI's taxonomy places the organism in Eukaryota, Metazoa, Chordata, Mammalia, Rodentia, Muridae. The record is from RefSeq and is marked validated.